This 56-nucleotide microRNA precursor is filed under the name Oryza sativa Indica Group (long-grained rice). RNAcentral describes it as "let-7 microRNA precursor". Lineage: Eukaryota; Viridiplantae; Streptophyta; Magnoliopsida; Poales; Poaceae. The record is from RNAcentral.
CCGGGCUCAUUCAUCAUCAGCCCAUCACCCUGGUCGCGAGACGAUGGAUGCCGCGG